UGGGGAAUAUUGCACAAUGGGCGAAAGCCUGAUGCAGCAACGCCGCGUGAGUGAUGAAGGCCUUCGGGUUGUAAAGCUCUGUCUUCUGGGACGAUAAUGACGGUACCAGAGGAGGAAGCCACGGCUAACUACGUGCCAGCAGCCGCGGUAAUACGUAGGUGGCAAGCGUUGUCCGGAUUUACUGGGUUUAAAGGGUGCGUAGGCGGCCCUGCAAGUCAGCGGUGAAAUGUGGCGGCUCAACCGUUUCGCUGCCGCUGAUACUGUAGGGCGUGGAUGCGGUCGAGGCGGGUGGAAUUCGUGGUGUAGCGGUGAAAUGCAUAGAUAUCACGAGGAACGCCGAUAGCGAAGGCAGCUCGCCGGGCCGCGAUCGACGCUGAGGCACGAAAGCGUGGGGAUCAAACA
This 402-nucleotide ribosomal RNA is filed under the name uncultured bacterium. RNAcentral's name for it is "bacterial SSU rRNA". It matches the Rfam family "Bacterial small subunit ribosomal RNA", at positions 355 to 774 of the family's 1533-position model. The record is from RNAcentral.